GGCGGGGUGGUGUAGCGGACUAUCAUCGGUCGUUUGGGACGACCGGACCGCGGUUCAAAUCCGCGCCCUGCCA
RNAcentral lists this transfer RNA (73 nucleotides) under Candidatus Nanosalinarum sp. J07AB56. Its description in RNAcentral is "tRNA-Pro". The record is from RNAcentral. Lineage: Archaea; Methanobacteriati; Methanobacteriota; Candidatus Nanohaloarchaea.